GAUGAACGCUGGCGGCGUGCUUAACACAUGCAAGUCGAACGAUGAAGCCCAGCCUGCUGGGCGGAUUAGUGGCGAACGGGUGAGUAACACGUGAGUAACCUGCCCUUGACUCUGGGAUAAGCCCGGGAAACUGGGUCUAAUACCGGAUAGGAGCGCCUGUCGCAUGACGGGUGCUGGAAAGAUUUUUCGGUCAUGGAUGGACUCGCGGCCUAUCAGCUUGUUGGUGAGGUAACGGCUCACCAAGGCGACGACGGGUAGCCGGCCUGAGAGGGUGACCGGCCACACUGGGACUGAGACACGGCCCAGACUCCUACGGGAGGCAGCAGUGGGGAAUAUUGCACAAUGGGCGGAAGCCUGAUGCAGCGACGCCGCGUGAGGGAUGACGGCCUUCGGGUUGUAAACCUCUUUCAGUAGGGAAGAAGCGAAAGUGACGUACCUGCAGACGAAGCC
This 450-nucleotide ribosomal RNA is filed under the name Micrococcus luteus. Its description in RNAcentral is "bacterial SSU rRNA". It matches the Rfam family "Bacterial small subunit ribosomal RNA", at positions 28 to 492 of the family's 1533-position model. The record is from RNAcentral. Lineage: Bacteria; Bacillati; Actinomycetota; Actinomycetes; Micrococcales; Micrococcaceae.